CCUACGGGAGGCAGCAGUGAGGAAUAUUGGUCAAUGGGCGGAAGCCUGAACCAGCCAAGUAGCGUGCAGGAUGACGGCCCUACGGGUUGUAAACUGCUUUUAUACGGGAAUAACGCGCCUUACGUGUAGGGCUUUGUAUGUACCGUAUGAAUAAGGACCGGCUAAUUCCGUGCCAGCAGCCGCGGUAAUACGGAAGGUCCGGGCGUUAUCCGGAUUUAUUGGGUUUAAAGGGAGCGUAGGCCGCAUGUCAAGCGUGCUGUGAAAUGUCCGGGCUCAACCCGGGCCUUGCAGCGCGAACUGGCGUGCUUGAGUCCGCGGAAAGCGGGCGGAAUUCGUCGUGUAGCGGUGAAAUGCUUAGAUAUGACGAAGAACCCCGAUUGCGAAGGCAGUUUGCUGCAGCGGAACUGACGCUGAUGCUCGAAAGCGCGGGUAUCGAACAGGAUUAGAUACCCCAGUAGUC
Molecule: ribosomal RNA, 460 nt
Filed under: uncultured bacterium
Lineage: Bacteria
Description: partial 16S ribosomal RNA
Rfam family: Bacterial small subunit ribosomal RNA
Source: RNAcentral